AUUAACGCUUGCGGCGUGCCUAAUACAUGCAAGUCGAGCGAACAGACGAGGAGCUUGCUCCUCUGACGUUAGCGGCGGACGGGUGAGUAACACGUUGAUAACCUACCUAUAAGACUGGGAUAACUUCGGGAAACCGGAGCUAAUACCGGAUAAUAUAUUUAACCGCAUGGUUCAAUAGUGAAAGACGGUUUUGCUUUCACUUAUAGAUGGAUCCGCGCCGCAUUAGCUAGUUGGUAAGGUAACGGCUUACCAAGGCGACGAUGCGUAGCCGACCUGAGAGGGUGAUCGGCCACACUGGAACUGAGGCACGGUCCAGACUCCUACGGGAGGCAGCAGUAGGGAAUCUUCCGCAAUGGGCGAAAGCCUGACGGAGCAACGCCGCGUGAGUGAUGAAGGUCUUCGGAUCGUAAAACUCUGUUAUUAGGGAAGAACAAAUGUGUAAGUAACUAUGCACGUCUUGACGGUACCUAAUCAGAAAGCCACGGCUAACUACGUG
RNAcentral lists this ribosomal RNA (496 nucleotides) under uncultured bacterium. RNAcentral's name for it is "partial 16S ribosomal RNA". It matches the Rfam family "Bacterial small subunit ribosomal RNA", at positions 29 to 507 of the family's 1533-position model. The record is from RNAcentral.